This 189-nucleotide ribosomal RNA is filed under the name uncultured eukaryote. RNAcentral describes it as "partial 18S ribosomal RNA". It matches the Rfam family "Eukaryotic small subunit ribosomal RNA", at positions 1299 to 1458 of the family's 1831-position model. The record is from RNAcentral.
UGGUGGUUUGAAUUGUCUGGUUUAUUCCGAUAACGUAACAAGACCUUUUCCUGCUAUUUAGCAAAGGAGGGUCUCAUAUAAUUGAUUGGGAAGGUUCACUUGUCCAUCGUCUUGAGAAUCCCAUAUCUUAGCUUCUUAGAGGUACGCUUUUUGUUUGUGAAAUAAUUAAAAGGAAGAAAGACAAUAACA